Bactrocera tryoni is the source of this 320-nucleotide long non-coding RNA. RefSeq lists it as uncharacterized. Lineage: Eukaryota; Metazoa; Arthropoda; Insecta; Diptera; Tephritidae. The transcript is spliced from 2 exons. The record is from RefSeq and is a predicted model, not a curated record.
UGUGCAUACGCGAACGGUCGUGAAAACUCGGCUUCCUUUUAUAUACAUUUUUAUUUUAGUUAUUACUAAAAAAUUCUACAAUUUCUACAAAUUGUAAAGAAAAUAGUGCAAACCAACUAAAACAUUUUUAAAUUAAUUGUGCAAUGUCAAUAAUAUUUUGCCUCAAUUUAAUGCAAAACAUAAACUGUUAAACGCAGAAAUUUUGUUGUAGUGCAAGUUUGCCUCAAUGUCACUAGAGAACAGCAAAACAACAAAUUGCUUAAUUAAAUACGGCGAACAAUUAAAUGUUUAUCAUUAGAACCAUAGUGAUCGCUUAUAAA